UACGAAGGGGGCUAGCGUUGUUCGGAAUCACUGGGCGUAAAGCGCACGCAGGCGGAUCGUUAAGUCAGGGGUGAAAUCCCGAGGCUCAACCUCGGAACUGCCUCUGAUACUGGCGAUCUUCGAGUCCGGGAGAGGUGAGUGGAACUCCGAGUGUAGAGGUGAAAUUCGUAGAUAUUCGGAAGAACACCAGUGGCGAAGGCGGCUCACUGGCCCGGUACUGACGCUCAGGUGCGAAAGCGUGGGGAGCAAACAGG
Molecule: ribosomal RNA, 254 nt
Filed under: uncultured bacterium
Lineage: Bacteria
Also listed under: 1 other name
Description: partial 16S ribosomal RNA
Rfam family: Bacterial small subunit ribosomal RNA
Source: RNAcentral